AAAAAAAAAAAAAAAUUCUUCGAUCAAUCUUAUCUUGCCGUUGAGAGGAGACAGAGAUUUCUAAAACUCAAUGGCCGGUGAUGUCUAUAUAUUUACGGGAGCUAACGACAAUUAUGACGUUUCUCUAAGCUUUAAUUAUACGCAAAGGAACUGUCUUGAUCUCCCUGGUCAAGCCAUGUCCUGCUAUAGCCCUAAGUAGAAAUGAUCUCAAGAAAUUCACAAAAUCUUCCAAAGAACCUAGGGUCCAGAUUUUCAAAAGCGAGACUGUUAACAAUACAGGGAGGGGCUCCUUUUGUUGCUUCAUUUUCUUCUUGAGGACCUAGUAGAUUUUUGCAUGAUUUAAUAAAGCCGGAUGUAAUAGCCCCGGGUGUGGAAAUUCUAGCGGCUUUUUCACCAAUAGCCACAGCAUCUGAAGUUUCAUGGGAUAAGAACACUGCGAAAUUUAGCAUCCUAUCAGGGACAUCAGUGGCUUGCCCCCAUGUGGCAGCUGCAGCGGCUUUCGUAAAGUCUUUUCAUCCCAAGUGAUCUCCUUCCGCAAUCAAAUCAGCUCUAAUGACUACAGCGUUGGAGUUAAAGGCUUCCCGAUACUCAGAAGCAGAAUUUGCACAUGGAGUUAAAGGCCAUAGAUUCAGGACUUGUUCAUGAAAAUUCUGUCCAAGAGAAUUUUAAGAUAUGGUGCAACAUAUCUCAAACCCCAGAAAGUAUGAUCAACAAAAAUGCGAGUUGCCCUAUGACGUUGGCUACCAAAGAGAUAAAUUAC
This 760-nucleotide long non-coding RNA is filed under the name Helianthus annuus (common sunflower). The record is from RNAcentral. Lineage: Eukaryota; Viridiplantae; Streptophyta; Magnoliopsida; Asterales; Asteraceae.